GGGAUUAAAGAUGCCCAGCUAAAAUUAUUGGAAUGCUACAGAGUUUAGCAUUGCUACUGUGCAAGGAUGACACACAAAUUCAUAAAAGUUGCCAGUCUGUU
Mesocricetus auratus (golden hamster) is the source of this 101-nucleotide small nuclear RNA. NCBI's taxonomy places the organism in Eukaryota, Metazoa, Chordata, Mammalia, Rodentia, Cricetidae. The record is from Ensembl.